GCACAAGCGGUGAGUAUGUUGUUUAAUUCGACGCUACGCGAAGAACCUUACCUGGGCUCGAACGACUAGUGGUGGUCCUUAUGAAAGUAGGGGCGACCCGCAAGGGAGCUAGCCGAGGUGCUGCAUGGCUGCCGUCAGCUCGUGUCGUGAGAUGUUGGGUUAAGUCCCGCAACGAGCGCAACCCUUGUCCUGUGUUGCUACCCCGCAAGGGGAGGACUCUCAGGAGACUGCCGUGGAUAACACGGAGGAAGGUGGGGACGACGUCAAGUCAUCAUGGCCUUUAUGUCCAGGGCUACACACGUGAUACAAUGGUGCAGACAGAAGGUUGCAAGACCGUAAGGUGGAGCCAAUCCCCAAACUGCACCCUAGUUCAGAUUGAGGGCUGCAAUUCGCCCUCAUGAAGCUGGAAUCGCUAGUAAUCGCAGAUCAGCAGGCUGCGGUGAAUACGUUCCCGGGCCUU
Molecule: ribosomal RNA, 460 nt
Filed under: uncultured bacterium
Lineage: Bacteria
Description: bacterial SSU rRNA
Rfam family: Bacterial small subunit ribosomal RNA
Source: RNAcentral